GGACUGUAGCUCAGUAGUAGAGUGCUUGCCUAGCAUGUGUGAGGCACUGGGUUCGAUCCUCAGCACCA
RNAcentral lists this transfer RNA (68 nucleotides) under Marmota monax (woodchuck). Its description in RNAcentral is "tRNA.Ala". The record is from RNAcentral. Lineage: Eukaryota; Metazoa; Chordata; Mammalia; Rodentia; Sciuridae.